AGAGUUUGAUCAUGGCUCAGAGUGAACGCUGGCGGCAGGCCUAAUACAUGCAAGUCGAACGGCAGCACAGCAGAGCUUGCUCUGUGGGUGGCGAGUGGCGGACGGGUGAGGAAUACGUGGGAAUCUGCCCAGUCGUGGGGAUAACGUAGGGAAACUUACGCUAAUACCGCAUGCGCCCUUCGGGGGAAAGCCGGGGACCUUCGGGCCUGGCGCGAUUGGAUGAGCCCACGUCGGAUUAGCUAGUUGGCGGGUAAAGGCCCACCAAGGCGACGAUCCGUAGCUGGUCUGAGAGGAUGAUCAGCCACACUGGAACUGAGACACGGUCCAGACUCCUACGGGAGGCAGCAGUAGGGAAUAUUGGACAAUGGGCGCAAGCCUGAUCCAGCCAUGCCGCGUGAGUGAAGAAGGCCCUCGGGUUGUAAAGCUCUUUUGUCCGGAAAGAAAAGCGCCGGGUUAAUACCCUGGUGUCCUGACGGUACCGGAAGAAUAAGCACCGGCUAACUUCGUG
This 508-nucleotide ribosomal RNA is filed under the name uncultured bacterium. RNAcentral's name for it is "bacterial SSU rRNA". It matches the Rfam family "Bacterial small subunit ribosomal RNA", at positions 8 to 507 of the family's 1533-position model. The record is from RNAcentral.